Drosophila teissieri is the source of this 424-nucleotide long non-coding RNA. RefSeq lists it as uncharacterized. NCBI's taxonomy places the organism in Eukaryota, Metazoa, Arthropoda, Insecta, Diptera, Drosophilidae. The transcript has 3 exons. The record is from RefSeq and is a predicted model, not a curated record.
CAAGGUAAUAAUUGUUUAAACAAAUCAAAUUGAGAAGUCGCAGGACAAAGUGAUAAAAAUUGCAUAUUUCCAAAGAAUGCACAUGGUUCAUUUUCUGAGCCAACGAGCCACAGAAUGACCGACUGUCUGGCGGACGGAAUGAUUGAAUGACAGCCAGCGGAAUGCAAGUGCAGCUGCAGCAACAACAGCAAAACGUCAACGUCAGCGGGGCAGUGGACAGUGAAUAUGAAUACGAAUAUGAAUAUGAAUAUGAUACCGAGACCAAACCCCGCUGCCCCGCCCCUUUUCGGUUGCACCGCCUACUCCUUAAGCAAACUGAAAUCUCAGUGUCAGCGAAUAUCAAACAAAUGCAACGGGAAUCAUCAACAAAUGUGUCUUCGCAAGAAUUUCAAAUCGGAGUUGGGGGAAAAAUCCAAAAACUGGA